UGGGGAAUAUUGGGCAAUGGGCGCAAGCCUGACCCAGCAACGCCGCGUGAAGGAAGAAGGCUUUCGGGUUGUAAACUUCUUUUGUCAGGGACGAAGCAAGUGACGGUACCUGACGAAUAAGCCACGGCUAACUACGUGCCAGCAGCCGCGGUAAUACGUAGGUGGCAAGCGUUAUCCGGAUUUACUGGGUGUAAAGGGCGUGUAGGCGGGGAAGCAAGUCAGAUGUGAAAACCACGGGCUCAACCUGUGGCCUGCAUUUGAAACUGUUUUUCUUGAGUACUGGAGAGGCAGACGGAAUUCCUAGUGUAGCGGUGAAAUGCGUAGAUAUUAGGAGGAACACCAGUGGCGAAGGCGGUCUGCUGGACAGCAACUGACGCUGAGGCGCGAAAGCGUGGGGAGCAAACAGG
RNAcentral lists this ribosomal RNA (407 nucleotides) under uncultured bacterium. RNAcentral describes it as "bacterial SSU rRNA". It matches the Rfam family "Bacterial small subunit ribosomal RNA", at positions 355 to 776 of the family's 1533-position model. The record is from RNAcentral.